UACGUAGGGGGCCAGCGUUGCUCGGAAUUACUGGGCGUAAAGAGCGCGCAGGCGGUCGUUCAAGUCGAGUGUGAAAGCCCCCGGCUCAACUGGGGAGGGUCACUCGAUACUGAUCGACUCGAAGGCAGGAGAGGGAAGCGGAAUUCCCGGUGUAGUGGUGAAAUGCGUAGAUAUCGGGAGGAACACCAGUGGCGAAGGCGGCUUUCUGGCCUGUUCUUGACGCUGAGGCGCGAAAGCUAGGGUAGCAAACGGG
This 253-nucleotide ribosomal RNA is filed under the name uncultured bacterium. Its description in RNAcentral is "partial 16S ribosomal RNA". It matches the Rfam family "Bacterial small subunit ribosomal RNA", at positions 524 to 776 of the family's 1533-position model. The record is from RNAcentral.